This 1437-nucleotide ribosomal RNA is filed under the name uncultured organism. RNAcentral's name for it is "16S ribosomal RNA". It matches the Rfam family "Bacterial small subunit ribosomal RNA". The record is from RNAcentral.
GCUGGCGGCGUGCUUAACACAUGCAAGUCGAACGGAAAGGCCCUGCUUUUGUGGGGUGCUCGAGUGGCGAACGGGUGAGUAACACGUGAGUAACCCGCCCUUGACUUUGGGAUAACUUCAGGAAACUGGGGCUAAUACCGGAUAGGAGCUCCUGCUGCAUGGUGGGGGUUGGAAAGUUUCGGCGGUUGGGGAUGGACUCGCGGCUUAUCAGCUUGUUGGUGGGGUAGUGGCUUACCAAGGCUUUGACGGGUAGCCGGCCUGAGAGGGUGACCGGCCACAUUGGGACUGAGAUACGGCCCAGACUCCUACGGGAGGCAGCAGUGGGGAAUAUUGCACAAUGGGCGGAAGCCUGAUGCAGCAACGCCGCGUGCGGGAUAACGGCCUUCGGGUUGUAAACCGCUUUCGCCUGUGACGAAGCGUGAGUGACGGUAAUGGGUAAAGAAGCACCGGCUAACUACGUGCCAGCAGCCGCGGUGAUACGUAGGGUGCGAGCGUUGUCCGGAUUUAUUGGGCGUAAAGGGCUCGUAGGUGGUUGAUCGCGUCGGAAGUGUAAUCUUGGGGCUUAACCCUGAGCGUGCUUUCGAUACGGGUUGACUUGAGGAAGGUAGGGGAGAAUGGAAUUCCUGGUGGAGCGGUGGAAUGCGCAGAUAUCAGGAGGAACACCAGUGGCGAAGGCGGUUCUCUGGGCCUUUCCUGACGCUGAGGAGCGAAAGCGUGGGGAGCGAACAGGCUUAGAUACCCUGGUAGUCCACGCUGUAAACGGUGGGUACUAGGUGUGGGGUCCAUUCCACGGGUUCCGUGCCGUAGCUAACGCUUUAAGUACCCCGCCUGGGGAGUACGGCCGCAAGGCUAAAACUCAAAGGAAUUGACGGGGCCCCGCACAAGCGGCGGAGCAUGCGGAUUAAUUCGAUGCAACGCGUAGAACCUUACCUGGGUUUGACAUGGAUCGGGAGUGCUCAGAGAUGGGUGUGCCUCUUUUGGGGUCGGUUCACAGGUGGUGCAUGGCUGUCGUCAGCUCGUGUCGUGAGAUGUUGGGUUAAGUCCCGCAACGAGCGCAACCCUUGUUCACUGUUGCCAGCACGUUAUGGUGGGGACUCAGUGGAGACCGCCGGGGUCAACUCGGAGGAAGGUGGGGAUGACGUCAAGUCAUCAUGCCCCUUAUGUCCAGGGCUUCACGCAUGCUACAAUGGCUGGUACAGAGAGUGGCGAGCCUGUGAGGGUGAGCGAAUCUCGGAAAGCCGGUCUCAGUUCGGAUUGGGGUCUGCAACUCGACCUCAUGAAGUCGGAGUCGCUAGUAAUCGCAGAUCAGCAACGCUGCGGUGAAUACGUUCCCGGGGCUUGUACACACCGCCCGUCAAGUCAUGAAAGUUGGUAACACCCGAAGCCGGUGGCCUAACCGUUGUGGGGGAGCCGUCGAAGGUGGGACUGGUGAUUAGG